GUUUGAGAAUACAGAUGCAAAAUUACUUGUGAAUUUACUUGCUCAUUUUUCCAAAGGAUGUAAUCUGUACACUUAGAAGUAUUUCACUCACAUGGGGCUCUUUGUAGCAACACAAACCGAACAAGCUAUUUCUGAAACUCAUAUUUAACUGUGAUUUGAUAUCAUCUUGAUUUUCUUAAUUUUUUUUAAAAUUGUGAUAAAAUACACAACAUAAUAUUUACCAUCUUAACCAUUUUUAAAUGUACAGUUCAGUGGCAGUGAGUACAUUCACAUUGUUAUAUAACAAUCACUACCCUCCAGCUCCAGAAUCUUUUCAACUUGCAAAACGGAAAUACUGACACAUUAAACAGUAACUCCCAUUUCCCCUUUCCCCCAGUGCCUGGCAACCACCAUUUACUUUCUGUCUCUAUGAAUUUUACUACUCUAGACACCUUAUAGAGUGGAAUUGCUCAGUAUUAUUCUUUACUGACUGGCUUCUUUCACUUAGCGUAGUGUUUUCUGGCUCAUCCGUGUCAUGGCAUGUGGCAGUAUUUCUUUCGCCCGGGCACUUUGGGAGGCUAAGAUGGAGAGGCUGAGAGUUGAAGACCAGCCUGGGUAACAUUGCAAGACCCCCAUCUCUACAAGAAAAUUAAAAAGGCUUGAGCCCAGGAGAUUGAGCCUGCAGUGAGCCAUGAUCAUGCCCCUGCACUCCAGCCUGGGGAAAGAAUGAUACCCUGUCUCAAAGAAAAAAAAAAGAAUUUCCUUCCUUUUAAAAAGAUGGAAUUAUAUUCUAUUGUAUGUAUAUACCACAUUUUGUUUAUCUGCAGAUGGGCCCUUGGAUUGUUUCUACCUUUUGUAUCAGUGUGUGUGUGUGUGUGUGUGUGUGUGUGUGUGUGUGUGUGUGUGUGUGUAUUUCUAGAAACUUGUUAUUCUCCUGAGUGUUAAACUGUUUUAAAUGUUUGGUUUUUCAUUUCUAGAACAUUUUCCUAUCCUAAAAUUUACCUAUCUGGCUAUCUAUCAUCUAUCACUUUUCCUAAGGAUCUUUAGUUGUUUACUUUUUAAUGAAGUAUAAUAUACGUUAUGAUAGUGUAUUUUAUGUAUCCUCAUAUCCUUUCACUGUGGAUUUAAUUUUUAGAAAUAACAAAAAGUCACAUAGGGCAAAUUCAUUAAGCUGAGUGGGUGAUUAAGUUAACAAUAGUAAUGACCAUGUAUUAAGUGCCUACUAUGUGCCAGGCACUGUGCUAGCAUUUCACACCCAUUAUAUCAUUCAGUCUUCACACCCCUGUUUGGUGGUUAUUAAUGAUUACUAAUAUUCAUUUUAUAGAUGAAUAAACUGAUACUCAAGGCCUUAAUUGCCUUUCCUAGGGGUGCACAACUAGAAAAAAGGCAGAGCCAGAUCUGCACCCAAGUCCUUCUGACCCCAGAGCUCAUGCUUGUAUCAUCGCACCAGUGUUACUCAAGCUUUCCUGGUGAUUACAGUCACAUGUACUUGACAAAACCACAAACUGUUGGGCCUGUCCCAGUGAUACUGAAUCGAAAUUUACUGAGGAGGGACCUGGGAGAUUACACUGCUUGAACAGCAUGGUACCGGGGAACCAGAGAUCAACUUCAACCCUUCUGUUAGCUCUUAGUGGGCUGGUCAGCUGGAUGUAGAAGCUAAAUUGACAGCAGGCAGAUUAACAAGAGAAAAAUGUAUAAAUUUUACUAGUUUUACAUGUACUUGGGGAUCUUCACAAGAAAGUGAAGUCUGAACAAGAGGCCAAAGUAAGAUAUUCUUAUACUUUUUAGACAAAGAAUGAUAAAUUUGAGAAGAAACAACAGGAGAAAGAAAAUCUGGCUAGGACAGUAAAAUUUUCUAGGGGAGUCACAGGAGAUAUAUGAGGGGGUGUAAAGCAAGUGGAAGAUAAAGGUUAUUUUGUUCGUAAGUUUGUUUAUUCGGGUUCCUUGCAGCCUCCAAGUCUCUGGUGAUAAGGGCUAUUUUCUCAUCCUGGUAUGGAUAAAUCUCAGGGCCUUCGAAGAGUAUCCGUCCCAGAGGAUUCUUUAUCCCUUGCUCCAUACAGGAAGAUAUAGAUCAGCUCUUCCUUUCUGAAACUAGAAUUUCUCCAUUGUUUUCCAUUAGAAAUAAUCAACAUACAAAUUUUGGGAUGGCACAUCCUUCAGUCCUCCAAUGGUAUCUACCAUAUUUUUUUCAAACAUAUAACAUACUUUAAGGUAAUGAGAUUAGGUCGUGCAGCUCACAAAUAGCUCUGAAGGCAGUUCCUAUAGCAGAGACUCAAUUGUUAUGAGCAUUAGCUAUUGGCAUGACAGAAUAGGCUUCAAAGUGACUUCUUUGAAGGACAAGAUUUAUUUGAAUGUUCUGCUUUAGAAUCAUUAAAAUGAGCACCCUCACUGCCAUGUUGGCUCUACGCACAGUAAGAUUAGAGAGACAGCGUUUUACAGUGAAAAGAGUAAGUCAACCCUGGUUUGGGAUCUGGAUAAAUUGCUUAACUUCUCAGAGCCUUAGUUUCUUCAUCUGUAAAAUGGAUUACUACCCAAUUUGAAGGACUAUUGUAUACAUUAGAAAUAACUAUAUAUGCCUUGUCAUGUAGUAGAUGCUUAUAGCAGUUCUUAUAAUAAUAAAGCGAAGUCCCCGUGGUGUAUUGUAAAUGUGAACCACACUCCUCAGCAGUGAUCCUUGUGUGCUAAGCUAGUGGACCAGAGUUUCCAGCUGAAGUAGAUCUGGAACCGAGUCUUGAAAAAUGUGUGUAGAGAAGCUUCUGUACUUUUCUUAUGUGGAUGGCAGUGGCGAGGGGGCGGUGGCGGGUGCAGCUGCAAUACUUAAAAAGGAAUUCUAUUGUGGCAAUAAAUGAAUAUGGCAAGAAAUGAGCCUGGCAAGAAAUGAAUGACAAUGGCCCCUAGGUGGUGCUGAAUCAUCAUGGAAGUGGAGGCUGGACACUUGGCAUUUGCGGAGGUGACUUCCUUCUGGUUUGAAUUUCAAAUAAGAGCAGGACAGCUCCUUGGGAUGUCUGGGAAAAAAGACCAGGCAGAAAAGAGUCUUUUCACUAGGAGCGGGUGCAAAAUACUCUUGCCUGUGAGGCCUCUUCAGGUCUUCGGUUUGCUUUAGUUGGAAACAGGAAGCAGGGUCAGACCAACUUGUAUUCAUUUGCUGAGAGCUGUUGGAGCUGUGACUGAUUCUGACAGAUCAAAUACCAUUUAUAACACUCCUGUGGGGGACACUUUAACCGGGGAUGUUAGUGCUAGCCCCUCCAGAGACUAAGUAUGUUUGCGGGAUGUGAGGACCCCUGGAAUAUACAAAUAUGCAUGCUAAUGAAUUUUAACAAAAAUAACCCAUUAUUGUUUUCUGUGCAACACUGUGCAUUUCUCAGCUACACCUGUCCUUUCCAACCUCAAUUGCUGGGCAACCUAUUUUUCUUUCGGCAUCAGAAGCGAUAGCAUCUGGGAAGUGAAUCUGAUGAAUUCUGCCUGGCAACCAACAUCUUUCCAACUGCCAGAUCCUGGGGCAUGAAGAGUUAAUUUUUCUCUUCAGAUAAGAACUAACUCAGAAGGCAGUUCCAGAAGAAAAGUGCAUCCAAAUAUUUUGAACAAUGACAGCAUCAUGGGAAUAAGUGUACGGCAUGUCUCCCGGGAAGAGUAUUUGAAGCCCAAACCAACAGAUACCACAUAAAAUACAACAAUAGCCACUAUCUUUUAAGCAUUUUCCUCAAAGGUUGAUUAAAUGAAACACUUCAACUUUGGGGUAAGUAUUAUUAAUGCCCACUUUAUAGAUGAAAAAAUUCA
RNAcentral lists this long non-coding RNA (3756 nucleotides) under Homo sapiens (human). RNAcentral's name for it is "HSALNT0308459". Lineage: Eukaryota; Metazoa; Chordata; Mammalia; Primates; Hominidae. The record is from RNAcentral.